Non-coding RNA from Ictidomys tridecemlineatus (thirteen-lined ground squirrel), 433 nucleotides. Lineage: Eukaryota; Metazoa; Chordata; Mammalia; Rodentia; Sciuridae. The record is from RefSeq and is a predicted model, not a curated record.
GCCGAUCAUGUAGAAUUCGCCGUCGUCCUCCAGCUGGAACUUGACGGGCUUCUGCCCGAAGGUCUUGCUCAGUGCCAUCAUCAUCAUUGCGGCGGCGGAGGCGAGCGGCCGGAGCCGAGAUGUGAAGGAUCAGAUAGGCUGGGGAUGUUUCCCAAGUCUUGUGCGGAUGAAGGCUUCUCACGGACGGAAAUAGCCACUGAGGGCCUGAGUCAGGCGGUGGCUUUCCCAGUCUCACAGCCAGGACUGGCAUUCAGCCCAGGGGUGAAGAAAGGAAGUGAGGCCUGAAGACCCGGAGGAAGAUAGAGCUACAUCUGGAAACCUGAGAGGCCCUCAUGUUUUGUGAUCCCAGGCCGGAACCUCGGUUUCCGCAUCCAGAAACACAGUGCAGCUAAGCAGAUAAGAAGGAUUAUAGGAAUAGAUAUCCCAGUUCAUA